This 27-nucleotide non-coding RNA is filed under the name Mus musculus (house mouse). Lineage: Eukaryota; Metazoa; Chordata; Mammalia; Rodentia; Muridae. The record is from RNAcentral.
UUCUGUAAACAUAAUCACUACUUCCCU